GCCGUUCCACCCAGUAUGGUGGUUAUGACACUCGUCUUGUAAUCGAGUGGACUCGGGUUCGAAUCCCGAAUGAGGCA
This 77-nucleotide transfer RNA is filed under the name Trichonephila clavata. RNAcentral describes it as "tRNA-Thr". The stretch from base 13 to 69 matches the Rfam family "tRNA", at positions 9 to 63 of the family's 71-position model. From Rfam's summary of the family: Transfer RNA (tRNA) molecules are approximately 80 nucleotides in length. Their secondary structure includes four short double-helical elements and three loops (D, anti-codon, and T loops). Lineage: Eukaryota; Metazoa; Arthropoda; Arachnida; Araneae; Nephilidae. The record is from RNAcentral.